GACGAACGCUGGCGGCGUGCUUAACACAUGCAAGUCGAACGGAAAGGCCCUGCUUUUGUGGGGUGCUCGAGUGGCGAACGGGUGAGUAACACGUGAGUAGCCUGCCCUUGACUUUGGGAUAACUUCAGGAAACUGGGGCUAAUACCGGAUAGGAGCUCCUGCUGCAUGGUGGGGGUUGGAAAGUUUCGGCGGUUGGGGAUGGACUCGCGGCUUAUCAGCUUGUUGGUGGGGUAGUGGCUUACCAAGGCUUUGACGGGUAGCCGGCCUGAGAGGGUGACCGGCCACAUUGGGACUGAGAUACGGCCCAGACUCCUACGGGAGGCAGCAGUGGGGAAUAUUGCACAAUGGGCGGAAGCCUGAUGCAGUAACGCCGCGUGCGGGAUGACGGCCUUCGGGUUGUAAACCGCUUUCGCCUGUGACGAAGCGUGAGUGACGGUAAUGGGUAAAGAAGCACCGGCUAACUACGUG
Molecule: ribosomal RNA, 468 nt
Filed under: uncultured bacterium
Lineage: Bacteria
Description: partial 16S ribosomal RNA
Rfam family: Bacterial small subunit ribosomal RNA
Source: RNAcentral